RNAcentral lists this non-coding RNA (21 nucleotides) under Caenorhabditis elegans. Lineage: Eukaryota; Metazoa; Nematoda; Chromadorea; Rhabditida; Rhabditidae. The record is from RNAcentral.
UAAGUAAGAAAAUUAGAACUG